Molecule: ribosomal RNA, 497 nt
Filed under: uncultured bacterium
Lineage: Bacteria
Description: partial 16S ribosomal RNA
Rfam family: Bacterial small subunit ribosomal RNA
Source: RNAcentral
GAUGAACGCUGGCGGCGUGCCUAAUACAUGCAAGUCGAGCGAACAGACGAGGAGCUUGCUCCUUUGACGUUAGCGGCGGACGGGUGAGUAACACGUGGAUAACCUACCUAUAAGACUGGGAUAACUUCGGGAAACCGGAGCUAAUACCGGAUAACAUGUUGAACCGCAUGGUUCAACAGUGAAAGACGGUCUUGCUGUCACUUAUAGAUGGAUCCGCGCCGCAUUAGCUAGUUGGUAAGGUAACGGCUUACCAAGGCAACGAUGCGUAGCCGACCUGAGAGGGUGAUCGGCCACACUGGAACUGAGACACGGUCCAGACUCCUACGGGAGGCAGCAGUAGGGAAUCGUCCGCAAUGGGCGAAAGCCUGACGGAGCAACGCCGCGUGAGUGAAGAAGGUCUUCGGAUCGUAAAACUCUGUUAUUAGGGAAGAACAAAUGUGUAAGUAGCUAUGCACGUCUUGACGGUACCUAAUCAGAAAGCCACGGCUAACUACGUG